AUCACCCAUACCUUGAAGAACAAAUUGUGUGUGUUUAGUUUUUUAAAGAAUAUCUACUUCAGCCACUUGUCAUUGCCAAGAAGGGCAGCAAAUUUGGAAUGCUUUUCUCUGUUUUAAAUUUGAAAAGUACAGUUCAUUUCUAGGUUUUCAGUUGCCUUUAGGUGCUUGACAAGAUAACCAUCUGUCCUCUGUGUCCCCUGUAGGCAUUCUUUUAUUGCAUUGCAAAGUAUGAUAAUGAUACUCUUUUAUGCAUAAGCUGUAAUAUAUUAUAAUACACUGGAUGGAGAAAAAUAAGAAAAUGCUAUUUAUAUCACAGAACUUUUUAAUUUCAUCUGUAGAUUGAAAUUCAUAAAAUGUAGUUUUUUCAUGUUGAUUUAUAUAAAUAGAUUGGUAUAAAUAAGAGUUUGAGGCGAGGUGCUGUGUUACACACCUGUAAUAUCAGCUACUUAGGAGCUGGGGUGGGAAGAUCACAAGUUCAAGACCAGCCUCAUAACUUAGGCCCUAAGCUAUUUAGCAAGACCCCAUCUCAGAAUAAAAUAAACAAAAGCUUUGGAUGUGUCACAGUGGUAGAGCACCCCUGGGUUCAAUCCCCAGUAAGGGGGGGGGGAACGGGACUUUGAAACAGGGUGUGGCAGUGCAUGCCUAUAGUCUCAGCUACUCAGGAGGCUGGGGAGGAAGAAUUGUUUGAGCCUCAUGGGUUUCAGACCAGCUGGGGCAAUGUAGCAAGACCCAGUCUCAAAAAAAAUUUAUUUUUUUCCCACAUCCAUAUAUGAAUCAUUUUUUCCAUUCUCUGGGAUGUGGAAUCCACUUUGGGAAACUCCUUAUUAAGAAAAAAAAUGAGUGUAAUGAAAUGAAUUAAGAGGCCAUUGUGGUAGUUCUCAUAGUCUCAUGGGAAAUGGUGAUAGCUAUGAUGAUAGUGAGGAUUGUGAGAAGUGGACAAAUGUAAGAGAGAUUUAGGCCAUAGAAUCUGUGGGUGCUAGUGAGUAGUAAUAGACUGG
RNAcentral lists this long non-coding RNA (998 nucleotides) under Marmota monax (woodchuck). Lineage: Eukaryota; Metazoa; Chordata; Mammalia; Rodentia; Sciuridae. The record is from RNAcentral.